CAUGUCUGGGCAUCGGUGGCGAUGACCGGCAAACAGCUCAGUAACACGUGGACAACCUGCCCUGUGGAGGAGGACAACCUCGGGAAACUGAGGCUAAUACUUCAUAGGUGGCAUGUUCUGGAAUGACUGCCACUAAAAGGCCCGGCGGCCUAUACCCGCCGUGUGCCAUAGGAUGGGUCUGCGGCAGAUUAGGUUGAUGUUGAGGUAAUGGCUCAACAUGCCUUCGAUCUGUAUCGGCUAUGAGAGUAGGGGCCGGGAGAUGGAUACUGAGACAAAGAUCCAGGUUCUACGGAACGCAGCAGUCGCGAAAUCUCCGCAAUGUGCGAAAGCAUGACGGGGGAACCCCAAGUGCCGAUCCACGAGAUCGGCUUUUGUGAAGUGUAAAAAGCUUCACGAAUAAGAGCUGGGUAAGACCGGUGCCAGCCUCCGCGGUAACACCGGCAGCUCAAGUGGUGAUCGCUUUUAUUGGGCUUAAAGCGUCCGUAGUCUGUUCGGUCAGUUUCCUGUGAAAUCCUGCCGCUCAACGGUAGGGCUUGCAGGAAAUACUUCCGGGCUUGGAGACGGGAUGGGUCAGGGGUAUUCCUGGGGUAGCGGUGAAAUGCGAUAAUCCUAGGAGGACCACCAGUAGCGAAGGCGCCUGACUGGAACGAGCUCGACGAUGAGGGACGAGAGCUAGGGGAGCGAACGGGAUUAGAUACCCCGGUAGUCCUAGCCGUAAACGAUGUGGGCUGAGUGUUUCUUGAACCUUGGGUUCAAGAAGUGCUGAAGGGAAACCGUUAAGCCCACCGUCUGGGGAGUACGGUCGCAAGGCUGAAACUUAAAGGAAUUGGCGGGGGAGCACCACAAGGGGUGGAUGCUGCGGUUUAAUUGGAUACAACGCCGGGCAACUCACCAGGGGCGACGGCAGGAUGAUGGCCAGGUUAAUGGUCUUGCCUGACGAGCCGAGAGGUAGUGCAUGGCCGCCGUCAGCUCGUACUGUGAAGCGUGCGGUUAAGUCCGUUAACGAGCGAGACCCGUACCUUCAUUUGCAACCUUCUCCGUCUGGAGGGGGGCACUAUGGAGGGACCGCUGGCGAUGAGUCAGAGGAAGGUGCGGGCAACGGUAGGUCUGUAUGCUCCGAAUCUCCUGGGUUACACGUGGCAUACAAUGGUGCAAACAAUGGGUUGCGAUCCCGAGAGGGUAAGCUAAUCCCCAACGUGCACCGUAGUUCGGAUCGAGGGUUGAAACUCACCCUCGUGAAGCUGAAAUCCCUAGUAAUCGCUGGUUACCAUCCAGCGGUGAAUAUGUCCCUGCUCCUUGCACACACCGCCCGUCAAACCGACCGAGUGGAUUGGGGACGAGGCCUUCUCAUCUGGGAGGGUCGAGUUCCGGGUCCGCAAGGGGGGUUAAGUCGUAACAAGGUA
Molecule: ribosomal RNA, 1403 nt
Filed under: metagenome
Description: bacterial SSU rRNA
Rfam family: Archaeal small subunit ribosomal RNA
Source: RNAcentral